Molecule: microRNA, 22 nt
Filed under: Selaginella moellendorffii
Lineage: Eukaryota; Viridiplantae; Streptophyta; Lycopodiopsida; Selaginellales; Selaginellaceae
Description: smo-miR1084
Source: miRBase by way of RNAcentral
UAACUCAGGUGGUAUGUUCCCA